Molecule: ribosomal RNA, 274 nt
Filed under: uncultured bacterium
Lineage: Bacteria
Description: partial 16S ribosomal RNA
Rfam family: Bacterial small subunit ribosomal RNA
Source: RNAcentral
CUACGGAGGGUGCGAGCGUUAAUCGGAAUUACUGGGCGUAAAGCGUACGUAGGCGGUUGGUUAAGUUAGAUGUGAAAGCCCCGGGCUUAACCUGGGAACUGCAUUUAAAACUGGCGAACUAGAGUUGAGUAGAGGGGAGUGGAAUUUCAGGUGUAGCGGUGAAAUGCGUAGAGAUCUGAAGGAACACCAGUGGCGAAGGCGACUCCCUGGACUCGAACUGACGCUGAGGUACGAAAGCGUGGGUAGCAAACGGGAUUAGAUACCCCAGUAGUCC